CCCCUAGUAACUGCGAGUGAAGCGGGAAAAGCUCAAAUUUAAAAUCUGGCGGUUCUGCCGUCCGAGUUGUAAUUUAGAGAAGUGUUAUCCGCGCUGGACCGUGUACAAGUCUCCUGGAAUGGAGCGUCAUAGAGGGUGAGAAUCCCGUCUUUGACACGGACUGCCAGGGCAUUUGUGAUGCGCUCUCAAAGAGUCGAGUUGUUUGGGAUUGCAGCUCAAAAUGGGUGGUAAAUUCCAUCUAAAGCUAAAUAUUGGGGAGAGACCGAUAGCGAACAAGUACCGUGAGGGAAAGAUGAAAAGAACUUUGGAAAGAGAGUUAAACAGUACGUGAAAUUGCUGAAAGGGAAACGCUUGAAGUCAGUCGCGUUGUUCGGGAUUCAGCUUUGGCUUCUGCCGGGUGGAUUUCCUGUUCGACGGGUCAGCAUCAGUUUUGGCCAGUGGAUAAAGGCUCAGAGAAUGUGGCAUCCUCGGAUGUGUUAUAGCUCUGGGUCGCAUACAUUGGCUGGGACUGAGGAACUCAGCACGCCGAAAGGCCAGGUUCGACC
This 545-nucleotide ribosomal RNA is filed under the name Mycena diosma. RNAcentral describes it as "eukaryotic LSU rRNA". It matches the Rfam family "Eukaryotic large subunit ribosomal RNA", at positions 77 to 621 of the family's 3401-position model. The record is from RNAcentral. Lineage: Eukaryota; Fungi; Basidiomycota; Agaricomycetes; Agaricales; Mycenaceae.